GACGAACGCUGGCGGCGUGCUUAACACAUGCAAGUCGAACGGUGAUGGAAGAGCUUGCUCUUCCUGAUCAGUGGCGAACGGGUGAGUAACACGUGAGCAACCUGCCCUCCACUUCGGGAUAAGCCUUGGAAACGGGGUCUAAUACCGGAUAUGAGCUAGCACCGCAUGGUGGUGGUUGGAAAGUUUUUCGGUGGGGGAUGGGCUCGCGGCCUAUCAGCUUGUUGGUGGGGUAAUGGCCUACCAAGGCGUCGACGGGUAGCCGGCCUGAGAGGGCGACCGGCCACACUGGGACUGAGGCACGGCCCAGACUCCUACAGGAGGCAGCAGUGGGGAAUAUUGCACAAUGGGCGAAAGCCUGAUGCAGCGACGCCGCGUGGAGGAUGACGGCCUUCGGGUUGUAAACUCCUUUCAGCAGGGAAGAAGCGCAAGUGACGGUACCUGCAGAAGAAGCACCGGCUAACUACGUG
Molecule: ribosomal RNA, 467 nt
Filed under: uncultured bacterium
Lineage: Bacteria
Description: bacterial SSU rRNA
Rfam family: Bacterial small subunit ribosomal RNA
Source: RNAcentral